This 497-nucleotide ribosomal RNA is filed under the name uncultured bacterium. RNAcentral's name for it is "partial 16S ribosomal RNA". It matches the Rfam family "Bacterial small subunit ribosomal RNA", at positions 28 to 507 of the family's 1533-position model. The record is from RNAcentral.
GAUGAACGCUGGCGGCGUGCCUAAUACAUGCAAGUCGAGCGAACAGACGAUGAGCUUGCUCCUCGCACGUUAGCGGCGGACGUGUGAGUAACACGUGUAUAACCUACCUAUAAGACUGGGAUAACUUCGGGACACCGGAGCUAAUACCGGAUAAUAUAUUGAACCGCAUUGUUCAAUAGUAAAAGACGGUUUUGCUGUCACUUAUAGAUGGAUCUGCGCCGCAUUAGCUAGUUGGUAAGGACACGGGUUAUCAAGGCUACGAUGCGUAGCCGACCGGAGGGAGUGAUAGGCCACCUGGGAACUGAGACACGGUCAAGACGACUACGGGAGGCAGCAGUAGGGAACGUGAGGCAAUGGGCGAAAGCCUGACGGAGCAACGCCGAGUGAGUGAUGAAGGCCUUCCGAUCGUAAAAACCGGUUAUGAGGGAAGAACAAAUGUGUAAGUAAAUAUGGACGUAUUGACGGUAACUAGUCAGAAAGCAACGGCUAACUACGUG